RNAcentral lists this ribosomal RNA (277 nucleotides) under Coniosporium sp. SL10201. RNAcentral's name for it is "partial 28S ribosomal RNA". Lineage: Eukaryota; Fungi; Ascomycota; Dothideomycetes. The record is from RNAcentral.
AUGCCCCCCGGAAUACCAGGGGGCGCAAUGUGCGUUCAAAGAUUCGAUGAUUCACUGAAUUCUGCAAUUCACAUUACCUAUCGCGUUUCGCUGCGUUCUUCAUCGAUGCCAGAACCAAGAGAUCCGUUGUUGAAAGUUUUAAUUAUUAAGUUUUGCUCAGACGACACUAAAUAAACAAGAGUUUAACGGUUCUCUGGCGGGCGCUAACCAGCGUGAGCCGGCAGCGGCAUUACACCGCGGGCCCGCCAAAGCAACAAAUUUAGGUACACAAAGGGUU